AUUGAACGCUGGCGGCAUGCCUUACACAUGCAAGUCGAACGGCAGCACGGGUGCUUGCACCUGGUGGCGAGUGGCGAACAGGUGAGUAAUACAUCGGAACGUACCUUAUCGUGGGGGAUAACGCAGCGAAAGCUGUGCUAAUACCGCAUACGCCCUGAGGGGGAAAGCGGGGGAUCGCAAGACCUCGCGCGAUUAGAGCGGCCGAUGCCUGAUUAGCUAGUUGGUGGGGUAAAAGCCCACCAAGGCGACGAUCAGUAGCUGGUCUGAGAGGACGAUCAGCCACACUGGGACUGAGACACGGCCCAGACUCCUACGGGAGGCAGCAGUGGGGAAUUUUGGACAAUGGGGGCAACCCUGAUCCAGCAAUGCCGCGUGAGUGAAGAAGGCCUUCGGGUUGUAAAGCUCUUUUGUCAGGGAAGAAACGCCGGCUCUAACACAGUCCGGGAAUGACGGUACCUGAAGAAUAAGCACCGGCUAACUACGUGCCAGCAGCCGCCGUAA
This 501-nucleotide ribosomal RNA is filed under the name uncultured bacterium. RNAcentral's name for it is "partial 16S ribosomal RNA". It matches the Rfam family "Bacterial small subunit ribosomal RNA", at positions 29 to 523 of the family's 1533-position model. The record is from RNAcentral.